RNAcentral lists this ribosomal RNA (474 nucleotides) under uncultured bacterium. RNAcentral's name for it is "bacterial SSU rRNA". It matches the Rfam family "Bacterial small subunit ribosomal RNA", at positions 328 to 793 of the family's 1533-position model. The record is from RNAcentral.
GCUGAGCACUCCUACGGGAGGCAGCAGUGGGGAAUAUUGCACAAUGGGCGCAAGCCUGAUGCAGCCAUGCCGCGUGUAUGAAGAAGGCCUUCGGGUUGUAAAGGUACUUUCAGCAGUGAGGAAGGUGGGUAUGUUAAUAGCAUACUCAUUUGACGUUAGCUGCAGAAGAAGCACCGGCUAACUCCGUGCCAGCAGCCGCGGUAAUACGGAGGGUGCGAGCGUUAAUCGGAAUUACUGGGCGUAAAGCGCAUGCAGGUGGUUUGUUAAGUCAGAUGUGAAAGCCCGGGGCUCAACCUCGGAAUUGCAUUUGAAAACUGGCAAACUAGAGUACUGUAGAGGGGGUAGAAUUUCAGGUGUAGCGGUGAAAUGCGUAGAGAUCUGAAGGAAUACCGGUGGCGAAGGCGGCCCCCUGGACAGAUACUGACACUCAGAUGCGAAAGCGUGGGGAGCAAACAGGAUUAGAUACCCUGGUAG